GACGAACCGUGCGAACGUUAUUCGGAAUCAUUGGGCUUAAAGGGCGCGUAGGCGGCGGUGUAAGUUGGAAGUGAAAUCCCAUCGGCUCAACCGUGGAAUUGCUCCCAGUACUGCAUCGCUCGAGGGGGAUAGGGGUCUGCGGAACUACCGGUGGAGCGGUGAAAUGUGUUGAUAUCGGUGGGAACGCCAGUGGCGAAAGCGGCAGACUAGACCUUCCCUGACGCUGAUGCGCGAAAGCUAGGGGAGCAAACGGGG
RNAcentral lists this ribosomal RNA (255 nucleotides) under uncultured bacterium. Its description in RNAcentral is "partial 16S ribosomal RNA". It matches the Rfam family "Bacterial small subunit ribosomal RNA", at positions 524 to 777 of the family's 1533-position model. The record is from RNAcentral.